Long non-coding RNA from Cavia porcellus (domestic guinea pig), 491 nucleotides. RefSeq lists it as uncharacterized. The transcript has 2 exons. NCBI's taxonomy places the organism in Eukaryota, Metazoa, Chordata, Mammalia, Rodentia, Caviidae. The record is from RefSeq and is a predicted model, not a curated record.
GUCCAGGUCUGUCAGCAUGACUAGAGGAAGGCAUGACCUGUGUCAAAGUGGGAAAAAUAGCCUUGUUCGUGUUUGUGUGGGGAAGGUGGCUGCAGCUGUUUGUCACUUGAUGCAGAGUCAUGAAUGGAAGCAAAAUUUUGCUGAGUCCAUCUGUGAACCCAGGGUCUGUGAUGGCAAGCUCAAGAGUCUAUGCUAGAAGUCAAAGAGUCCGAGCUGCAAGCCAGGAGAUGAUAUCAAGAUGAAGGUGAAGAAUGGAGAUUCUCCAGAGAACAGAAGCUGAUCCUUCCUUCCUCAUUUUCCCCAUCAUACCAUGCAGGGAACAAGCCAUCCUAGGGUGUGUCCUUUACUCCGUAAGGUGCAGAAUUUUUGGACUGACUUAGUUAAGCUUCUAAACUUCUCAAGUUGACACAAUCAACCAACAAUUACAUUCAGCCUUAUAAUCAGACCAUCAUAUUCAUCAAUAAACAGCACGAGGUAUUUUUAACUUUAAA